GGAGGAUAAAGCGAUCUGGUGGCGCUCGCGGACUUCAAAUCCGAUGACGGGGUGGUUGACCAUCCUGUGGGGAGUUCGAUUCUCUCAUCCUCUCGCCA
RNAcentral lists this transfer RNA (98 nucleotides) under Campylobacter sp. Its description in RNAcentral is "tRNA-Sec". It matches the Rfam family "Selenocysteine transfer RNA". Lineage: Bacteria; Pseudomonadati; Campylobacterota; Epsilonproteobacteria; Campylobacterales; Campylobacteraceae. The record is from RNAcentral.